CAGUCGCCACGGGAAUACGAAGGGUGCAAGCGUUAAUCGGAAUUACUGGGCGUAAGGCGUGCGUAGGCGGUGAGUUAAGUCUGCUGUGAAAUCCCCGGGCUCAACCUGGGAAUGGCAGUGGAUACUGGCUCGCUAGAGUGUGUCAGAGGAUGGUGGAAUUCCCGGUGUAGCGGUGAAAUGCGUAGAGAUCGGGAGGAACAUCAGUGGCGAAGGCGGCCAUCUGGGACAACACUGACGCUGAGGCACGAAAGCGUGGGGAGCAAACAGGAUUAGAUACCCCCGUAGUCCCUGUCUCUUAUAC
Molecule: ribosomal RNA, 301 nt
Filed under: uncultured bacterium
Lineage: Bacteria
Description: partial 16S ribosomal RNA
Rfam family: Bacterial small subunit ribosomal RNA
Source: RNAcentral